CGUCAGAAGCAACUAAACAUUGAUCAACUUCACUAUCAGUUGACAACAGAGAAUCGUCGGGCCAGCGAAGAAAUGAAUGUUUUGAAGCAGCAGAACUCUGAUCUCAAGCUGCCGGUAACCCAAGCAAGACAACAGGCUGACCAAUUUUACAAAACGGGUUUGGAGAGAAAUAUUGAUGCCGUAUCAUUAUAAUAAACCAGUUGUCAGCAUGCAUUAAAAUUGGAUCUUGCCAGUCACGGAAAACCUUUGAAUACGUACAAUCCAGAAAGUCAGUUUAUACAAGACCUUCGAGAGAAAGUCAAGCUGCUCAACGGAUUAAUGGAUUAACAAAAGAACGCGAACAGUUGAUUAAAAUUGGGAAAUAAGCUGACAGCUGAAUUGUUGAAAUAUAAAGGGUUUCACUGAGGAAGAAAGACAACUUCAACAGAAUAUUCGCAAAUUACAAAACCAACUCGAAGCUAAAGAACAGGAACAUCGUCAAAGGGAAUGGAAACUUGUGGACAAACUGAAGGAAAAUGAUGUCACAAUACAUACGCUAAAUCAAUCAAUCGCAAACUUAAAGAGCAAGAUGGACUAACAGAACCAGGAAUAUUCCAGAUUAACUGUAGCAAAGGAUGUUGAACUGGAAACGUUGCAUCAACAGGAUGCCAAUAUGAGAUCUGAACUCGCGCAGAGAAAAAAUAAUUUUGAGAGGAGGCAGAAAGAGUUGUCUUUAUCUUUGGAAAGAGAGUCGUCGUUGGAACGUUCUAGGGCUCAGCUAGAGUUAGAUUGGCAGCGCAGAUAUGAAUAGGAAGAAAGAACUGGGUACAUAUGAUAAACAAGGAGAACUAGUUAAGAAUUUAACACAAGGCAAAGAAGAGGCGUUAUCGUUGGUGUAACAACAGAAACGUGAACUGCUUCACAAGGAUAGUGUU
RNAcentral lists this long non-coding RNA (914 nucleotides) under Dendronephthya gigantea. RNAcentral's name for it is "uncharacterized LOC114542253, transcript variant X3". Lineage: Eukaryota; Metazoa; Cnidaria; Anthozoa; Malacalcyonacea; Nephtheidae. The record is from RNAcentral.